AAGUCGUAACAAGGUUUCCGUAGGUAAACCUGCGGAAGGAUCAUUAUAAAAUUUCUACAUAUUUUAAAUAUGUAAAAAAAAUCUUGUAUUCAAAACCCACACUCUUAAAAAACCCAUAAUAAAAAUUUUUAUGUUCAUAUAAAAUUUUUUUAUAUAAAUUAUAUAUAUAAUUAAAAGACAACUUUCAACAACGGAUUUCUUGGCUCUC
This 208-nucleotide unclassified non-coding RNA is filed under the name fungal sp. RNAcentral's name for it is "partial internal transcribed spacer region". The stretch from base 1 to 46 matches the Rfam family "Eukaryotic small subunit ribosomal RNA", at positions 1786 to 1831 of the family's 1831-position model. The record is from RNAcentral. Lineage: Eukaryota; Fungi.